CGGGCGGUGCCUCCUUCUUUCCCGCGGGCUCCCCGCAUUCCAUCCCCUCCCCGCAACGUUGCCACGGGAUGCGGUUGCCACGAGUUACCGGAUGGGAGGCCGGGAGGGCUCUGCGCGGGGCGGGGAAGAGCGGGGCGGACAGCGCGGCGGCCCUCAGGUAAGGCUCUGCCCCCCCCGCUCCGCGUCCCCGGGGCAAGGCAGGGCAGGGCGGCGAGCGCGGUCUUGGGAUGCUCCCUGCCUGCCUUUUCACCUUUUUUUUUUUUUCCCCCCCGUUCGUUGGAUUUUUUUGUUGUGUUUGUUUGGGGUUUUUUUGUUUCGUUUUGUUUGGUUGGUGGGUUUUUUUUUUCCCUCUCUCCUUUUUUUUUUUUUCCCGCGGGCAGCCCCCUCGCUGCUGCGCUCCCACCCCACACCCGCUGCCCGGUGCGGAUGCUCUGCGGGGCGCCUCCAGGUCAGAACCGCGGGAUGCGAGCCCAAAGGCGAGAGAGAGAGAGUUCGAUCUUCUGUUUUAACCAAGGCCACUUGAAUUAAUUUCUAAGGAGGUUUUUGUUCCAGAAGGCGAAGAAGCGACCUAAGCCGCUAUACCGCGUUUUAAACGCCGAAGAGGAGAAUGGCUGUGUCUUUCCUAAAGCGUUGAGGCCUUUCGUGAAAAGAAUCAGUCCGAGACUGGAAAUUAUUAUUUACAUUUCUGCAAUAUUGUAAAAGCUAGAGAAGAAAGGAAAACGUCUGUUCAAAGAGGCAAACUGGUGAAUUGCAUCAGCAACAGAGUAUUUGGUCUGUCCAGACACACAAGCCUCCAUAUCUUCUGGGCUAAGCUGAGUCUGUAAGAAGAGGUGAAGUCUACUAUCUGAAAGCAAUAAUGUGUCUUGUACGAUCCUGGAAAAAGAAAAAAAGGCAAAUGUUUAUAUAUAAGCUACACACAAACACAUAUAUUCUAAAGUGUUUUCCCAGAACAAAUUCUAAAUUAUGUCCUGCUUUUAAGUUUUCAGAUGAAUCCUAAAUCAAUAACAGAAGGUAAUGAGAACAUACUAAAAUGAUUAGGUGUGUGUUACUUUCUUAUUACAUUAUUUGGAAUUUUAGGUGAGUAAAAACACGAAGCUAAUAGUUAGGCACAUCUGCUAUUAGAAUAACUUCAAGGACAUUUCUUCCAUUUAACCAUCUGUUAUUUCCACAUGGAUCAAUUAAUGAAUUUUAGGCAGUUGGAGGCAUAUACUCUUACAAAAACUUCGUCUUUUUGUUUGUUGUUUGUUUGGGUUUUUUUUUUUAAUAGCUGAACUUUUAUAAAAAUUACAAGUCAUCAAUUUGGUGGAAUAAAGAAGUGUGCAGAGAGACAGUGUGUAGACAGAACAGUUUUCAUACAUGUGCUUUGGAAUACCUGUAAACAAUGGAGCCAACACUAGACAAAAUUAUUCACUCCGUUACAAAUAUGCAUAUAUUUAAGCUAGAAUGAAAAUGUUAAUACUGAACACUGAUUUUAAUUUACUUGCAAACAGUUUUCAGGGACUCUUAAAUUUUAUUUAGUUCCAGCUAUUAUUUUUAAAAAAUCCACUUUAAUAUUUGGUUCAUAUAUAUUUCAAGUCUCCAAACAAAUUUAGCACAGUGUAUUUACUUAAUAUCACAUAAGAGUAAUCAAAAUACAAUCAAUUCCAGUAAUGCAGAAAGUUGCAGUUACUUUUUCAAGGCCUCAAAAUUAAGGAUCAUCAUCACUAUUUGGGAAAAAAAAAAGAUAUGCAACUCUUCUUCAACAUUUCUUUACAGAAGGAAUUCUUUAAUACGCAAAUCCUAGAAUGAUUAACAAGAGACUUUCUUUAUAUGUGCAUGUAAUUUUACUCAUGUAAUAAAGACAGCAGAGUCUAUGACCAUGCCAAAGAGCGCUCCACAGAAAACUAUUAAAAUAUCUUUAAACAACUCAAAACUAAUAAGAGUCAAUAUUUACCUAUUUCUACUCAUUUAGGUAACAGUUUUUUACCAAAAAAAGUCACUGCUGUGCAAUAGGAAACAAGAGAUCACACUAAUGUAAGAACUAGUAAGAGCAGAAAGAAAUAUUGCAUUUUAAAGGUACUCUGACUAAAAUAAAAGGUAUAACUGAUUA
Myiozetetes cayanensis is the source of this 2089-nucleotide long non-coding RNA. RefSeq lists it as uncharacterized. NCBI's taxonomy places the organism in Eukaryota, Metazoa, Chordata, Aves, Passeriformes, Tyrannidae. The record is from RefSeq and is a predicted model, not a curated record. The transcript is spliced from 2 exons.